AUUGAACGCUGGCGGCAUGCCUUACACAUGCAAGUCGAACGGCAGCACGGGAGCAAUCCUGGUGGCGAGUGGCGAACGGGUGAGUAAAGUAUCGGAACGUGCCCAGUCGUGGGGGAUAACGUAGCGAAGGUUACGCUAAUACCGCAUACGAUCUAUGGAUGAAAGCGGGGGAUCGCAAGACCUCGCGCGAUUGGAGCGGCCGAUAUCAGAUUAGGUAGUUGGUGGGGGAAAGGCUCACCAAGCCGACGAUCUGUAGCUGGUCUGAGAGGACGACCAGCCACACGGGGACUGAGACACGGCCAAGACUCCUACGGGAGGCAGCAGUGGGGAGUUUUGGACGAUGGGCGAAAGCCUGAUCCAGCCAUGCCGCGUGCAGGAUGAAGGCCUUCGGGUUGUAAACUGCUUUUGUACGGAACGAAAAGGUUUGGCCUAAUAAGCUGAGCUCAUGACGGUACCGUAAGAAUAAGCACCGGCUAACUACGUGCCAGCAGCCGCCGUAA
Molecule: ribosomal RNA, 500 nt
Filed under: uncultured bacterium
Lineage: Bacteria
Description: partial 16S ribosomal RNA
Rfam family: Bacterial small subunit ribosomal RNA
Source: RNAcentral